This 380-nucleotide unclassified non-coding RNA is filed under the name uncultured Chlamydiales bacterium. RNAcentral describes it as "contains 16S-23S intergenic spacer region". The record is from RNAcentral. Lineage: Bacteria; Pseudomonadati; Chlamydiota; Chlamydiia; Chlamydiales.
UCCUGGUUAACCCAGGCAGUCUCGCUAGAGUGCCCGCCAUUACGCGCUGGCAACUAACGACAAGGGUUGCGCUCGUUGCGGGACUUAACCCAACACCUCACGGCACGAGCUGACGACAGCCAUGCAGCACCUGUGCAUAUGUCUCUUGCGAGAAAAUUACAUCUCUGUAACGGUCAUAUGCAUGUCAAACCCAGGUAAGGUUCUUCGCGUUGCAUCGAAUUAAACCACAUGCUCCACUGCUUGUGCGGGUCCCCGUCAAUUCUUUUGAGUUUUACCCUUGCGAGCGUACUUCCCAGGCGGUAUACUUAUCGCGUUAGCUACGGCACAGUUGGGGUUGAGACCAACUACGCCAAGUAUACAUAGUUUAGGGCAAGGACUAC